GUGUCAGCCGCCGCGGUAAUACGGAGGAUGCAAGCGUUAUCCGGAUUUAUUGGGUUUAAAGGGUGCGUAGGCGGAAAAAUAAGUCAGUGGUGAAAACCUGCAGCUUAACUGUAGAAUUGCCAUUGAUACUGUUAUUCUUGAGUAUGGUCAAGGUAGGCGGAAUGUGUAAUGUAGCGGUGAAAUGCUUAGAUAUUACACAGAACACCGAUUGCGAAGGCAGCUUGCUGGGCCAUUACUGACGCUGAUGCACGAAAGCGUGGGGAUCGAACAGGAUUAGAUACCCUGGUAGUCCACGCCGUAAACGAUGAUCACUCGCUGUUAGCGAUACACAGUUAGCGGCUAAGCAAAAGCAUUAAGUGAUCCACCUGGGGAGUACGGCCGCAAGGCUGAAACUUAAAGGAAUUGACGGGG
RNAcentral lists this ribosomal RNA (411 nucleotides) under uncultured prokaryote. RNAcentral describes it as "bacterial SSU rRNA". It matches the Rfam family "Bacterial small subunit ribosomal RNA", at positions 505 to 918 of the family's 1533-position model. The record is from RNAcentral.